GUGUCAGCAGCCGCGGUAAGACGUAGGGAGCGAGCGUUAUCCGGAUUCAUUGGGCGUAAAGCGCACGCAGGCGGCCAAGUAAGUCGGGUGUGAAAUCCCGGGGCUCAACCCCGGGCGUGCAUCCGAAACUGCUUGGCUAGAGGUAGGCAGGGGAGAUCGGAAUUCCUGGUGUAGCGGUGAAAUGCGCAGAUAUCAGGAGGAACACCGGUGGCGAAGGCGGAUCUCUGGGCCUUACCUGACGCUCAGGUGCGAAAGCUAGGGGAGCGAACAGGAUUAGAAACCCGUGUAGUCC
This 292-nucleotide ribosomal RNA is filed under the name uncultured bacterium. RNAcentral's name for it is "partial 16S ribosomal RNA". It matches the Rfam family "Bacterial small subunit ribosomal RNA", at positions 505 to 796 of the family's 1533-position model. The record is from RNAcentral.